Coturnix japonica (Japanese quail) is the source of this 2104-nucleotide long non-coding RNA. The record is from Ensembl. Lineage: Eukaryota; Metazoa; Chordata; Aves; Galliformes; Phasianidae.
AAUUGCUUGAGUCCUGACCUGGUUACCCUUCACCUACAAUUAUAUUGAAAAAUACAUUACUUGUAAUGCUUCUUUAUGUUACAGCUGCCUGUAUUAGCAAGAGAGAGGCUCACUGAAGUGAACUCUGUAUUUAAUUAAAGGCACCACUAAAACUCAUCAAGGCCAAAACAUCAUAUACUCUGCAUACCUAGAACCAUUGCAUUACUAGAGCUGAGAAAGAAGCCAUCCAACUCUUUGCAACCCCCCAAAAAGUCCUGUCAUUCCUAUGAGAAAAGCAGCAAAAAGGAAUCAGAAAGCAUUACAAACACAAACCAAAUGCAAAAACUAAAAGCACUGGGAGCAUCACUGCAGCAAGGCCAGCGUUAUGAAUUUACUGAUAGAACAUACCAGAAAAACCCAAAGCUCAGAGCCUUCUACUGCAGCACUGAUUGCACCUCCUGCACUCCAGGUGCUGAUUUCAGCUGGGCCUCAAAAAGCAGAACAGCCCCCACCCCCCACAAAGCACAGGUGGCACUGAGGGGGGGCAUUGCUGUUCUCCCUUAUUUAUAGCCAUGCAGGGGGUGGGUAGUUAUUACAGUGCUCUCCUGAGGUGGCUCAAGAUCUCUCUAACUGAAUGAGCAAGGAAGAACCUGACACUGCAGAACAAACAGUUUGCAAGAAGGAAAUAUUUCAUGUAGACAUUGAAGAAUAACUUUGUGACCCUACGGUGUUAUCUUUCUGAGCAGCCAGACAGAUGUGCAAGAUGAGGACAAAGAGCCUUUCAAUCUCCUUGCCCACAGGAUGCUCGGAAGGGACCUCUUCACUCUCACCAGAGAGCGAUGUAGACUGCCAGACCCAAUGUCUCAUAGACUGCAGGCAGGGACAUUACUACACAGCUGGCAACUGCUUGGAAUGUCCAACUGGCUUUUAUUGCCCUGGGGGUCAAAAAGCUCCAAGGAAAUGCCCAUUGGGAACAGCUAAUGAGCUUACAGCUCAAGUGGACAUCAUAGCCUGCCGGGUCUGUCCUGAAGGCUUUCUCAGCAUGGAGAAUGGAGCUGGAUGUCGUGCGUGUCCAGAUGGCUAUUCGUGUGAUCCACGUAGUGGUGUGCAGAGGAGCUGCAGUCCUGGCCAGUAUUCUCCAGACGGAGAGCUGGAGUGCCUGGGGUGCCCAGAGAACCAUGUCUGCCCAGAUGGAAGGAGCAGGCAGCCCUGUUUGGCUGGGCAGGAGCCAGAUCCAAGCCACACUCAUUGUGUUACUUAUGCCCGUGGUUCUGUCUCUGCUGAAGAUGUGCUGAUAUGCCAGCCCUGUCCAGCAGGUCACUUCUGUGCAGACAGCCUUACAGAUACUCCUCCAUGCCCAGCAGGGAGCUUCAAGCCCAAAGAGGGGAUCCUCGUGCCCAGCAGCAGCUCUUCGUUCUUACCCAGAAAUGGGUUGUGUUUGAAGUGUCCUGCUGGGUAUUUCUGUCCUGCUGGAGGAAGUCACCCCACACCAUGCCAGCCAGGUACAUACAAUCCUCUCCAAGGACAGGAUGAAGCCACUGACUGCAGAGCCUGCCCAGCAGGAAGAGCUUGCACCCAGGCUGGAUUAACCCAGCCUGACUCUGAGUGCUUACCAGGGUACGUGUGCCCAGCGGGGUCAUCCAGCCCACAUCUUCCCAGCAAUGCCUGUCCUCCAGGAACAGUUGGUGACAGCUUUGACCUCUUUGAUAAGUCCCAGUGUGAGACGUGUCCUGCUGGAUAUUUCUGUGUUAGAGGAACAGGGGGAAAACAGAAACCUCCUGCACCAUGUCCAGUUGGUCACUACUGCCCACCAGGCACGAAGCACGCAGCACAGUACAAGUGUGCCCCGGGCACAUGGAGCAAUAGGACAAGGCUGAAAUCAGCAGAGGAGUGUUUGCUGUGCCCUGCAGGCUGGUUUUGUGUGGGAGGAUCUCAUGCACCUUCUGGCAUGUGCAGCUCAGGGCACUACUGCCCUCAAGGUACAUGGAGAGGCACACAGCACCCCUGCCCUGCAGGAACAUAUAGCACCAGGCUGGGAAACAGCAAAGUGGAGGAUUGCACUGCCUGCCCUGCUGGGGCGUUUUGCCCCAUUGGGACCUCCAAGCCAGUUCUUUGCCCCAUGUAA